Long non-coding RNA from Apus apus (common swift), 3601 nucleotides. RefSeq lists it as uncharacterized. NCBI's taxonomy places the organism in Eukaryota, Metazoa, Chordata, Aves, Apodiformes, Apodidae. The transcript has 2 exons. The record is from RefSeq and is a predicted model, not a curated record.
CCACAGCCAUGGCUGCCUAGUGGCCAGGAGCCAGCCAGACCCUGGACAGACAGACACGCUCUCAUGGCCAUUGGCUUUCACAGCCUUUGUUAUAGGGGUUGGGACAGGAUGUCCCAGCCCCGCGGUGGUGACACAGCCAGCACCCUUUGGGGACGUUGUGCCAGCCCCCAGCUGGGUGCUGGCAGGGAGGGCUGGGGCUGGAGCUGGUGGGGUCGAUGCAGUUGGUGUUGCCAAUGAAAACCUGCCCCACAAACAGGCUCUUUGGGUCCCAUCAGCAGCCACCACGGGUCCCUCCUGCUCUGCCCAUGAGCCCCGUGCAGCCCCUCACCCCGGCGCUGGCUGGGGUGCCACCCCCACCCUGAGGGGCUUCCAAGAGCCACCUUCUCCCUGGCCAGGAGGAGUUUUCCUCUCCCCUGCAACCACAGGCCAUCAAAUCCUUUGGGAAAAGUGUGAUAGAGUUUAUUUCUGGUCCAGGUGAGAACAGGGAAACGAGGAGAUUCACCUGGGAGGGGAAAAUGAAACCUUGAUGGAAAAUCCUGAGGCUGAACCCAGCCUGGCCAGGGCUGCCAGUGGGGAUGUCCCUGUGGAGGGGCUGGAGGAGGGUGAAGAUGGAGCAGCUGAGAUUGGGAGGAGGAUGAGGAUGAAGUUGCCAACCCACCCUGUGGGGGUUAAUCCAGCUGUGGCUCCUUGUCACCUUCUUCAUUCUUGUGCCAAGGCAGAGGACAGGCAUCCUGUGGGACAGGAGGAGAAUGGCCAUUGGUUUCCCCCUUGGCCCAAGAACUGGGAAUGACCAAGGAGGAGAGGGAACCCAUCUUGUGUCUCCUCCCCACUCAGAACCCCUGUUCCAGCUGGUGGCAGGAGCUGGGCUGGGUCUUGCCCACCCUGGGGAAGGGUUUGGACCUUUUCAGAUGUGAAGAAGAUCUCCUCCUCAGUGAAGCCCAGGCAGUGCAACUGGGCUUUGAACUCCUCCAGCUGCUCCUUGCUCACGUUGUGUGUCCGUGCUGCCGGGGAAAGGAGAAGGGGGAAAGAAAGGGAGUUCCAGGGGGUGCUUUGCUGCUUGGAGGUCCCCAUGGUGGGUGUGGGGAGCUCACUGCCUGCCUGGUCCCUGGUCCAUCCUUCCCUCUACCUCUUGGGGAGUAAAAAGGUCUUUUUGCCCUGCCUGUGAGAGCUGGGCAUGGCUGUGCCCAACUGAUGGGAGGUGCCCCAUGGAUCUGGGGCAGCCUCCACUCACCUGAGAGGCUCAGACCCAGGUCGUUGUCAUGAAGGUGCUUCAGGAUCAGCAGGUCCUUGUCACUUUGGAUCACCUCAGCCAUGGAAACUCUUUGGUCGUCAACUGGAAGGUAGUGGGAGAGCAGGGUCCCCUCUGGUUGACUGUCACCCUCUGCCAGGGCUUGGCAGAGGUGGCAGUGCUGGGGGGCUGCUCACCCCCUGACCCCCAGGAGACUCAUCCUGGUGGGGCCCAGCUGGGACCCACAGCACAGCCGUGCCCACUGCAUGGGCCAGGGAAAGUUGUUUUCCCUGCACCUCCAGACAUGACAUUGGGUCAAAGACAUUUCCGUGUUGGGGGCUCAGGGUCUCAAACACCAGGGGUUCAGAACUUGGGAGGGAGGGGGAGGUUGUGUUUCCCUCCCCCUCCUCCCACAAGCUGCCCAUGGCUUUACCAUGCAGCAGGGUGGAGUUGUGCUGGAAGACCUGGAUCCCAUCCGUGCUCCUCACCACACACGUCUCGUUCCUGUGGGGCAGAGAGGCCAGAUGGAGCAAACCCCCCCCCCCAGCCAAACCCGAGGGACCCGGGGCCGCAGAGCUUCAUUGAAUUUGGCACAGCUGCCCUCCAGCCCCAAAGCUGGUGCCGGUGGGUGGAAAUGCCCCAGGGAUGGGGGAGUCAAGGGAGGGGGAGAAUCCCCAUCCUUACACUCUAACAAUUUUGGUGGCGUUGAGCUCGUCCUCGUGGCUGCCAGGAAAGUAGGAAAAAGCUGCGUAUUUCAUGGUCUUAACCUGCUCCAGGUAAUGUGGGUGCCGGGACACACUGGCAAUGUAGACCCAAUGUCCCAGGAGCUGUGGAGAGGAGAGAGCAGGGAAGGGGGUGUGAGGAUGGCAUCUCGGAUUCAGCCAUGGCCAAACCCCUGCCCUCCCACUGUCACCAGCACCCCCAGUCAGUGACAGUCCCGGGCAGGAUCCAGGCUCCCGGAUUAGUCCCCUCCUUGCCAAGGAGAAUCUCCAGCUCCUGGGAUCCCACCUUGCUCCUGGGAUCCCACCCCUCCUGCCCCGUGCCCACCUCUCACUGCUGCCCUCCCACUAACCAGCCCCAGGGGCCAAACCCUGCUCAUGCCCUGCAGGGGUUUGUGGCUGGAGCCUCAUGACCCGAGUCCCUGUGACUUGGGGGGCUUCAACUAGAGCAGCAAAGCCCUGGGGCAGCGCUGCCCAGCCUGGGGAGGGGAAGCAGGAGCCCCCAGCAGCAGCUGCUGCUGAGCGAAGGGGUGCAGAGCUGCCAGGCUGCACCCCAGCCCCGCGCUCCUCUGCAGCCUCCUCCUGCUCUUGAGGAAAAGAGCCCUGGGCAGGCAGCGAGAUGAGGCUGGAGCUGCCAGUCGGGUUUGGCAGCCGUUGCUGGAGCCAGGGUGGCUGCUGGUGCUGCCAGGCAAGGGAGGACGGGGCUGGGCUUACCCCAGGGAUGGUGUCAUUGUCCAAGGGGAGCGUGCGGAGCGGGGCGCAGCCGGGGGGCUCGGCGGCGAGGGCGAGGGGCAGCCCCAGGAGCAGGGUGAGGGUGGUCAGCAUGGCCUGGCCAGUCGGGAGGAGCCUGCUGCUCUGUGGGGCUGCUGCUCAUCUCAGCCCCUUAUCUACUGCAGAGCUGGACGUCCCCAGCCCCCGUGGGCUUGGUCAACCCGUGGCUGUUUGCUCAGGUGUGAAGCAAGAGCAGCUGCAGGGAAUGAGCCUGGCAAAAGCUUGGCUUUCUGAAGCAGGAGUGACAAAAACAAAACCACCCCAAAACCCACCCCGUUCCCCCCCACUUUUCACCAACCCAGGCUUUUGUUCUCAGAGCUGCAAUUAAUUUUGCAGGUGCCCAGGUAAGUGCUUGACCAGCUCCAGGUGUGUUUGCGAGGGAGGCCCCGGGGUCUGAGCGACCUGGUCUGGUUGAGGAUGUGCCUGUUCCUGGCAGGUCUGGAGCAGAUGGCCUUUAAGGUCCCCGAAUGGAACCAUUCUGUGAUUCUCUGGUCACCUGCACCUUUUAAACGCAAACCAGAACAACCAGGCAUCUCUUUCUCCUCCCUGUUAGUGCCACUUCCCUGAACUUACUCUAUCCCAGCAGCUGCAGUGAGAUCUCCAAAGCCAUCAAAUUUGGUGGUUUUUUUUUUUUCCCCUUUUCAGCUGAGCUCCCAUCCUCAGCCCUUGCUGCUUGUGGCUGGUCUCAGCCCAGCUGAGCAGUGAAAAAAUGGCCUUUGGGCUGUGGGUGCUGAUAAUAUAAUGGAUAAUUUUAACUAAUCUGAAAAGAAGUGGUAGAGACAGGGACUUGUUGAAUAAACUCUGUCUGGGGGAGGGGUUGUCUGUGGCAAUGGAACAACUGGUGCAGUGGGCUUAGACUUUUAAUAAAAUGAAUAAACUACAA